RNAcentral lists this transfer RNA (68 nucleotides) under Sclerophasma paresisense. RNAcentral's name for it is "tRNA-Ser". It matches the Rfam family "tRNA". From Rfam's summary of the family: Transfer RNA (tRNA) molecules are approximately 80 nucleotides in length. The record is from RNAcentral. Lineage: Eukaryota; Metazoa; Arthropoda; Insecta; Mantophasmatodea; Mantophasmatidae.
AGUUAAUAAACUUAUGAAAGUAUAUGUUUUGAAAACAUAAUAAAGAAGUUCAAUUCUUCUAUUAACUU